GACGAACGCUGGCGGCGUGCUUAACACAUGCAAGUCGAACGGAAAGGCCCUGCUUUUGUGGGGUGCUCGAGUGGCGAACGUGUGAGUAACACGUGAGUAACCUGCCCUUUACUUUGGGAUAACUUGAGGAAACUGGGGCUAAUACCUGAUAGGAGCUCCUGCUGCAUGGUGGGGGUUGGACAGUUUCGGCGGAUGGGGAUGGACUCGCGGCUUAUCAGCUUGUUGGUGGGGUAGUGGCUUACCAAGGCUUCGACGGGUAGCCGGCCUGAGAGGGUGACCGGCCACAUUGGGACUGAGAGACGGCCCAGACGCCAACGGGGGGCAGCGGUGGGGAAUAUUGCACAAUGGGCGGAAGCCUGAUGCAGCAACGCCGCGUGCGGGAUGACGGCCUUCGGGUGGUAAACCGCUUUCGCCUGUGACGAAGCGUGAGUGACGGUAAUGGGUAAAGAAGCACCGGCUAACUACGUG
RNAcentral lists this ribosomal RNA (468 nucleotides) under uncultured bacterium. RNAcentral's name for it is "partial 16S ribosomal RNA". It matches the Rfam family "Bacterial small subunit ribosomal RNA", at positions 28 to 507 of the family's 1533-position model. The record is from RNAcentral.